GAUGAACGCUGGCGGCGUGCUUAACACAUGCAAGUCGAACGAAGCCUUUGCGACAGUUUCUUUCGGAAUGAAGUUGCUUAUGACUGAGUGGCGGACGGGUGAGUAACGCGUGGGUAACCUGCUUUGUACUGGGGGAUAUCAGCUGUACACGGCAGGUAAUACCGCAUAAGCGGACAAAGUUGCAUGCCAUGUGGUGAAAAAGUCGGGUGGUAUAAGAUGGACCCGCGUCUGAUUAGCUAGUUGGCGAGAUUACAGCCCAUCAAGGCGACGAGCAGUAGCCGAGCAGUGAGGCUGACCCGAGACAUUGGGACUGAGCAGCAGCCGAGAAUACUGCGGGAGGCAGCAGUGGCGGAUAUUGCACAAUCGAGGGAACGCAGAUGGAGCGAGGCCGGGUGAGUGAAGAAGGUAGUCGUGAUGGAAAGCACUAUCAGCAGGGAAGUUAGUGACGGUACCUGAAGAAGAAGCUCCGGCUAACUACGUG
This 481-nucleotide ribosomal RNA is filed under the name uncultured bacterium. Its description in RNAcentral is "partial 16S ribosomal RNA". It matches the Rfam family "Bacterial small subunit ribosomal RNA", at positions 28 to 507 of the family's 1533-position model. The record is from RNAcentral.